This 450-nucleotide ribosomal RNA is filed under the name uncultured bacterium. RNAcentral describes it as "partial 16S ribosomal RNA". It matches the Rfam family "Bacterial small subunit ribosomal RNA", at positions 338 to 795 of the family's 1533-position model. The record is from RNAcentral.
CCUACGGGGGGCUGCAGUCGAGGAUCUUCGGCAAUGGGCGAAAGCCUGACCGAGCGACGCCGCGUGCGGGAUGAAGGCCUUCGGGUUGUAAACCGCUGUCAGAGGGGAGGAAAUACUAGGGGGUUCUCCCCCUAGUUUGACCUAUCCUCAGAGGAAGUACGGGCUAAGUUCGUGCCAGCAGCCGCGGUAAGACGAACCGUACAAACGUUAUUCGGAAUCACUGGGCUUAAAGGGUGCGAAGGCGGCGCGGGAGAUCCCUCGGCUCAACCGAGGAACUGCGCCCAAAACUGCCGUGCUUGAGGGAGACAGAGGUGAGCGGAACUAAGGGUGGAGCGGUGAAAUGCGUUGAUAUCCUUAGGAACACCGGUGGCGAAAGCGGCUCACUGGGUCUCUUCUGACGCUGAGGCACGAAAGCUAGGGGAGCAAACGGGAUUAGAUACCCGAGUAGUC